Xylanimonas cellulosilytica DSM 15894 is the source of this 96-nucleotide non-coding RNA. The record is from Rfam. Lineage: Bacteria; Bacillati; Actinomycetota; Actinomycetes; Micrococcales; Promicromonosporaceae.
GCCCCGCCCUGCGAGGCCUCUCGCCGCGAGUGUCUGGCGUACUUCCCCGACGCCAGAACGACGCGGAGGGAGACCUGGCCGGACGGGGUCCCUGCC